This is a regulatory RNA element of Blautia sp. CAG:257, 107 nucleotides long. It matches the Rfam family "TPP riboswitch aptamer (THI element)". From Rfam's summary of the family: Vitamin B(1) in its active form thiamin pyrophosphate (TPP) is an essential coenzyme that is synthesised by coupling of pyrimidine and thiazole moieties in bacteria. The previously detected thiamin-regulatory element, thi box was extended, resulting in a new, highly conserved RNA secondary structure, the THI element, which is widely distributed in eubacteria and also occurs in some archaea. Lineage: Bacteria; Bacillati; Bacillota; Clostridia; Lachnospirales; Lachnospiraceae. The record is from Rfam.
AAAUAAAGCAGACGGGAGCUUGUAUGACAGGCUGAGAGGAAGGUAUGACCUUCGACCGAUAACCUGAUUUGGAUAAUGCCAACGUAGGGAUGCCUGAGCAUAAGUGU